UACGGAGGGUGCGAGCGUUGUUCGGAAUUAUUGGGCGUAAAGCGCACGUAGGCGGCUUUGUAAGUCUCAUUGUGAAAGCCCGGGGCUCAACCCCGGGACUGCAGGGGAUACUGCGAGGCUUGAGUCAAGUAGAGGUUGGUAGAAUUCCGGGUGUAGCGGUGGAAUGCGUAGAGAUCCGGAGGAAUACCAGAGGCGAAGGCGGCCAACUGGACUUGUACUGACGCUGAGGUGCGAAAGCGUGGGGAGCGAACAGG
RNAcentral lists this ribosomal RNA (254 nucleotides) under uncultured bacterium. RNAcentral describes it as "partial 16S ribosomal RNA". It matches the Rfam family "Bacterial small subunit ribosomal RNA", at positions 524 to 776 of the family's 1533-position model. The record is from RNAcentral. RNAcentral also lists the same sequence under 1 other name.